AAGACAGUCCUUUUAUUUUACCCCAACAGCCUUUGGCCUUAGCUCUUUUUUUCUUCUAUCUCUUGACCCUUUGUGUGGGUAUUUCAGUGUUGAUCACUAGUGUUGAUUUAGUUUGGUUUAUAUCCAAAGUGUGCAAAAUUGAGCCUCCAAGUGAAGUUUUAUGAAAUGAACUUUACUGUUUAAAAAUAGGUUCAAAGAGUAUGAAUGAGAUUUUUACUGUUAAAAUAUAGGAAACAUUUCAAUACUUGCCAUUUAUUUAUUUGCAUAUAAUAGAAUACAUACUGAUUUUGUAAAAAGUGAUUAUCUUAAUGUAUGCCAUUUGGGAUUACCUGUGGCUCUGCCAUCUUCCAUUAUCAGAGAUAAGUGAAAAUUGGCUAUACUUUUUUUUUUGUUUGUUUUGUUUUUUGAGAUGGAGUCUUGCUUUGUUGCCUAGGCUGUAGUGCAGUGGUGCAAACUCAGUUCACUGGAACCUCUGCUUCCAAGCAAUUCCCCUGCCUCAGCCACCUGAGUAGCUGGGAUUACAGGUGUACGUCAUCAAGGCCAGCUAAUUUUUGUAUUUUUAGUAGAGAUGGGGUUUCACCAUGUUGGCCAGGCUGAUCUCAAACUCUUGACCUCAAGUGAUCUACCCACCUCAGACUCCCAAAGUGCUGGGAUUACAAGUGUGAGCUACUGCACCCGGCCUUGGCUACACUUUACAGUUUUCUUUCACAGCUGGUAUUUCAGUUUUGUGGAACCUUAGAACUGGGUGGUCAUUUGUGCUUCUCUUAAGCGUCUUCUUUCUUUGGAGAUGAAAUUUGCAUAAUAUAAAAUUAGCCAUUUAAAAGCAAACAAUUCAGUGACUGUUGGUACAUUCACAAUGUUGAGCAACUACCUCUAGUUUCAAAAAGUUUUUAUCACCCCUAAAGGAAACCCAUACCCAUUAAGCAGUUUUGCUUCAGCCUCCCCACCCCUCCUCCUCUGACAACCACCAGUCUGCAUUCUGUCUCAAUGGAUCUGCCUAUCGUGGACAUUUCAUAUAAAUGGAAUCAUACAAUGUGUGACCUUUUGUCUCUGAUUUCUUUCACUUAACGUAAUGUUUUCGAGUUUCAUUUACAUUGUAGAAUGUGUCAGAACUGUAUUCCUUUUUAUGAUUGGAUAAUACUUCAUUGUAUGUAUAUACCCCAGUUUAUCCGUUUAUCACUCGAUGGACAUUUGAGUUGUUUUCAUCUUUAGGUUAUUGUCAGUAUUGCUGCUGUGAACAUGUAUGUACAUGUAUUUGUUUGAAUACCAGUUUUUCAGUUCUUUUGGGUAUACACCUAGGAGCAGAAUUACUGGGUUAUAUAGUAACCCUAUGUUUAACUUUUUGAGGAACUGCCAAACUGUUUUUCAUAGUAACUGAAUCAUUUUACAUUCCCAGUGUAUGAAGGUUUCACUUUCUUUGCAUUUUCUCUAACAUCUAAGUGUUUUCUUGUCAGUAAGAUGAGCAGGAUUAUCUUACAUAUAAUACAUAAUUGAGGAAAUACAUAAAAUAUUUUGUGAACAAAGAGCUGAUAAACAGGUGCUACUGUCUGGGAUGAUAUGGUUCAGACCCUCAUUUUUCAGUUGUGGCAAUAGGUGUCAGAGGCUGUGACUUACCUAAGCUGUAAGAAACAAAAUAAGCAAUAAAACCUAAGAUGUUUUAUUGCCACUUAGAGGUUACCUCAAAGCUCCUCCAGGAUGGACAUCAUAAUUUUGUGAGAAGCAGUUACUGGUACAGAAAAUAAAAACAGCCAUUAAUGAGACAUACAGGAGCACACUGUCUUUUAGAGUAAGGUACUAUUUCCUGUGACCUUUAGUAUACUCAGUAGUAAGGAAUAAUUAGCCCUAGAUGGACCUGCAAAUCAUAAAGGGCAAAUCAUUAAAAAAGAUUUUUAAAAUCUUUUUUACUACCUGAUUUUAUGAUUUACUAUAAAGCUACAGUAAUCAGAAUAGCCUGGUAUUGGCAUAGGGUUGGACAGAUUGAUCAGUGGGAGAGAAUAGUAUAUCCAUACAUAAAUGGUCAUCUGAUUUUUGACAAAGGUGCAAAGGUAAUUCAAAGGAGAAAGGAUAGUCUUUUCAACCAGAGGUACUAUAAAAACAACUGGAUAUUCAUAUACAAAAAAACAAAAAGUUUUGAUUCAUACGUUGCACUAUGAACAAAAAUUAACUCAAACUGGCUGGGCAUGGUGGCUCAUGCCUGUAAUCCCAGCAUUUUGGGAGGCUGAGGUAGGAGGAGCACUAGGAGUUCGAGACCAGUCUGGGCAACGUAGUGACAUUUCGUCUCUAUUACUUAAAAAAAAUAUAGAAAACCUAAAGUAUAAAACUUCUAGAAGAAAAUAGGAGAAUAUCUUUGUGACCUUGGGAUAGAUUUCUUAGAUAUUACACUAUAGAAGAACAAACUGAUAUGUUGAACUUCAAAAUUUAAAACUUCUGUUCUUUAGAAAACACUGUUAAAAGAACGAGGUGACAAAUCACAGACUGAGAGGAAAUGUUUACAAAGCAUAUAUUUGAUGAAAGAUUUAUAUUUAGAUUACAUAAAGAACUCUCAGAACUCAGUAAGAGCCUUUCCUUUUGGUGGUGCACAGCAGCAAUAUGGUGAAAAUUUCUAAGAAGAGGAAGUUUGAUAGCAUCUUCAGAAAUAAACUGAGCGAGUACUUGCAGAAGGUGACUACUCUGGAGCUGAGGUCCAAGUUACACCAGCCGGAAUAGAAAUCACUACCUUAGCAUCCAGGAAGCAGAAUGUUCUUGGUGAAAAUAACCACUUUAUCUGUGAAUUGGCUGAGGUAGUUCAGAAGAGGUUUGGCUUCCCUGAGGUCAGGUAAAGCUUUAUGCUGAAAAGGUGGCCUGAAAGAAUUCUCUAUGCCAUUGCCCAGACAGAGUCUGUGCUAUAAACUAUUAUUAGGUUUUCUGUGGGGAGGGCCUUCAGUAGUGUGCUGCGCUAUGCAGAGUGGGGCAAGGGCUACGAGGUCAUGGUGUCAGGGAAACUGAAGGACAGAGAACUAAAUCCAUGAACUUUGAGUAUGAUCUGAUGAUCCACAGCAGGGACCCUAUUAGCUACUAUGUUGAUACCAUCAUCCAUGUGCUUCUCAGACAGGGUGGGCUGGGCAUCAGAGUGAAGAUCAUGUGUCCUGGGACCAAGUGAUAAGAUUGGUCUUAAGAAUCCCCUGCCUGAUCAUGUGAGCACUCUGGACCCUAAAGAUGAGAUACUAUUCACCAUGUCUAUUUCAGGACAGAUCGUUAGGAAGCCAUGCUCUACCCAACCCCAACUGAAUAAUAGGGUCUCCUUGGCAGCUGGUUCUGGAGUCUGGAUGUUGCCUUGUAAAACAUUUAAUAAAAUAUUUUAAGAAGACAAAAUACAACAACAAAAACCCUUACUAAUACAACAAACAACCAAAUUAAAAAUUGGCCAAAAUAUUUGAACAGACAUUUUAUCAAAGAUGAUUAUACAGAUGACAAAUAAGCACAUGAAAAAUACUCAAUAUCAUUAAUUAUUAGGGAAAUGCAAUUAAAACCACAAUAAGAUACCACUACAAAUCUAUUGGAAUGGCUGAAAUAUAAAAGACUGGCCAUACCAAAUGUUUGUGAGGAUGUGGAGGAACUGUUGAUGGGAAUGUUAAAUGGAACCACAAUUUUGGAAAACAGCUUGGCUGUUCCUUAAAAAGCUAAGCAUACACCUACAUAUGACCCAGUAAUUCCACUCCUAGAAGACAAGAGAACAUAAAUUGAUACAAAUAUCUUGUACAUUAAUGUUUAUAGCAGCUGUAUUUAUAAUAUCCAGAAGCUGGAAACAACCCAGUGUCUAUUAAUAGGUAACUAGAAUAAUUGGGGUAUAUCCAUGCACUGGACUACUACUCAGCAAUAGAAAUGAAUGAACAAUUGAUAGAUUUUUCUGGGUGAGGGGAGAGGGAAGCCAGCCAGAACACGUGGACUGGGCCGGAAACAUGGGGCCCUUCUGCUUGGCACCUAGCCCCUCCCUCUCCCCUCACCUGGAAAAGAUCCUCCCCAUCUCCACAGAAACCUGACUGUCCCCCUACAGGGCUUGGGAGGAAGUGGGCUUUGUGUACAGUCCCUGUUGACUCCAGUGCCCCCUGCUGGCACCAGACGUGGGAUCUCUGUAAGGCUUCAGGGCACAGCUGCCCAAUGGCCAGAAGCAGGGCCCGCCAUGCUUUGGCACAGCUCUGGGACACCCCACCUGUUCCCCAGGUGUGACCUAUCAACAGCAACUUUGCGGUGUGGUGCACUAUUUGUGGAAAAACUCCCUGUUUUCUCUCUGGAAAUGGGUCGAAGACCAAAGAAAAUGAUGUGCCCCACUUGGUCACCCCGAGCCGCCUGCCCUGGAACACUGGCCACAGUUGAGGAGGUGUGUCUGUAUGCUUUGAACCGCGGUGGCGGUGCUUGUGGUUGGAGCUCCUCAGGGUGGGUGCGCAUUCGCAGUGCGGUGACUGAGACCUAGAAAUCCAAGUGUCGGAGGUCCUGAGGCCAGCCAGAAUCGCUUCAAAAUGGAACGAAGGUAUUUGCGGACUUGCAUUCAGAGCUGAUUCAUCAGCAUGAGCCUGUGGACGAGCCCACGGAGACUCGUGGACCUGGCGGGGCAGAGAGCCUGCUGAAGAAUGAGGCCCUGGCCAUCGCUGUCUUGGAGUUGCUCCCCAAAAUUUUUUCCCGCCACUCUUCAGGGCAGACUUUGACGGGAAACACAACCAGACUCUGAAGGCAAUGGUGCAGGCCUGGCCCUUCACCUGCCUCCCUCUGGGAGUGCUGAUGAAGGGACAGCAGCUUCACGUGGAAACCUUCAAAGCUGUGCUUGAAGGAGUUGAUGUGCUGCUUGCCCAGGAGGUUCACCCCAGGAGGUGGACACUCAAAGUGCUGGAUGUAGGAAAGCAUUCUCAUCAAGACUUCUGGACCAUAUGGUCUGGAAAAAGGGUCAGUCUGCUCAUUUCCAGAGCCAGAAGCAGCUCAGCCCAUGAGAAAGAAGCGAAAAUAGAUGGUUUGAGCACAGAAGCAGAGCAGCCCUUUACUCCAAAAGAUGUUCUCGUAGACCUGUCCCUCAAGGAAGGUGCCUAUGAUGAAUUGUUCACCCACCUGAUUGAGAUAGUGAGGCGAAAGAAAGAUGUACUACACCUGUGCUGUAAGAAGCUGAAGAUUUUUUGCCAUGCCUGUGCAGAAUAUCAAGAUGAUCCUGAAAAUGGUGCAGCUGGACUCUAUUGAAGAUUUGGAAGUGACUUGCACCUGGAAACUAACCUCCUUGGUGAAAUUUUCUCCUCACCUGAGCCAGAUAAGUAAUCUAUGUAGACUACUCCUCGCUCACAUCCAUCCAUCUUCCUUCAUUUCCCCAGAGAAGGAGGAGCAGUAUAUCGCCCAGUUCACCUCUCAGUUCCUCAGUCUCCACUGCCUCCAGGAGCUCUACAUGGACUCUUUAUUUUUCCUCUGAGGCCGCCUGGAUCAGUUGCUCAGAUGCAUGAUGAACCCCUUGGAAACCCUUUCGAUAACUAACUGCUGGCUUUCAGAAGAAGAUGUGACACAUCUGUCCUGGAGCCCCAGCAUCAGUCAGCUGAGUGUCUUGAGUCUAAGUGGGGUCAUGCUGACCGAGAUAAAUCCCGAGCUCCUCCAAGCUCUGCUAGAGAGAACCUCCGCCACCCUCCAGGACCUGGACUUAGAUGAGUGUGGGAUCAUGGAUACUCAGCUCCUUAUUCUUCUGCCUUCCCUGAGCCACUGCUCCCAGCUUACCACCUUCAGCUUCUGCAGGAAUCCCAUCUCCAUGUCUGUCCUGGAGAACCUCGUGCACCACAUCAUCGGAUUGAAUAAUCUGAGCCACUUGCUGUAUCCUGUCCGCAUGGAGAGUUAGGAGGACGUCAAUGGCACCCUCGACCUGGGGAGACUUGCCUAUCUGCACACCAGGCUAGGGAGUUGCUGUGUGAAUUGGGGUGGCCUGGCAUGGUCUGGCUCAGUGCCAACUCCUGUCCUCACUGUGGGGACAGAACCUUCUAUGACCCAGAUCCCAUCCUGUGCCCCUGUUUCACGCCUGCCUAGCUGGGUGCACAUGUCAAAUGCUUCAUUCUGCAUAAUUAGACACUGAAGCCCAGGAUUCAAGUGCAUCUUGAAGCAACACAGCAGCCACAGUUUGAGAAAAAUAUUCAGUGUGAGUGAGGGAAAAAAGGGGAAGUUGGGGGUGGGCAGAUGUUGACUUGAGGAGUUGAUGGAAUCUUUGGGGAGAUGCAUUCUAUAGAGUUAGAAAUAGAAUCUGAAUUUCUAAAGGGGGAUUCUGGCUUGGAAAGUACAUGUGGGAGGUAAUCCCUGUGUGGACUGUUAUAAAAAAAAAACUGUUGGAAAUAAAGAGAAGCAAUAUGAAAAAAAAAACAAUUGAUACAACUAAAAGUGUAGUUAAAUCUGAAAAUAAUUAUGCUGAGUGAAAGAAACCAGAACAAAAAAAGGUACAUAUUAUAUGAUUUUAUUUAUACAAACUCUAAAAAUGCAAGCUAAUCUAUAGUGAUAGCAGAUCAGCAGUUGCUUAGGGAGAGGAGCAAAAAGGUGGGAGGAAGGAUUGCAAAGGUGCAUGAAGAGAUUCUGGAGGUGAUAGAUAUGUCCACUGUCGAUUCUGGUGAUAGUUCACAGGUGCAUACUUAUGUCAGAAUUGACCAAUUGUAUACUUGAAAUAUUGGGCCCUUUACUGUAUGAUGAUUAUGUUUCUGAGCAGCUGCACAGAACUGUGCAGAGCCUAGAGCAUCACUGUGAGGCUGGGUUAGGGAUUUAAAAAUGUGCCCAUGUUCUUUCAGUCUCUGGCAGUGAUAAACAGGUAUACACAAUGUGUUUGGGUUUUAGGGCAUGAAAAAACUAUGCUAAAAUGAAAUACUGUUUUAAGACUUGAAAAAUACCACUAUUUUUUGUGGAGUAUUAUGCUACAUCUGAAAUAUUCUGUUCCUGUAUAUAAAGAAUAUAAAAAAGCAAGGCUUCCUGUAGUGUAUCACAUUGUCAAAUAGGUCAAGCUUCAGGGCAAAUGCUUUGAAAUAGGUACAGUAAUUCCUGGCUGAUUGUUUUUGUUUUCCAAAUGAAU
Molecule: non-coding RNA, 7045 nt
Organism: Callithrix jacchus (white-tufted-ear marmoset)
Lineage: Eukaryota; Metazoa; Chordata; Mammalia; Primates; Cebidae
Source: RefSeq, a predicted model, not a curated record